RNAcentral lists this transfer RNA (73 nucleotides) under Bos taurus (domestic cattle). It matches the Rfam family "tRNA". Rfam says of the family: Transfer RNA (tRNA) molecules are approximately 80 nucleotides in length. Their secondary structure includes four short double-helical elements and three loops (D, anti-codon, and T loops). Lineage: Eukaryota; Metazoa; Chordata; Mammalia; Artiodactyla; Bovidae. The record is from Rfam by way of RNAcentral. RNAcentral also lists the same sequence under 5 other names.
UCCCUGGAAGUCCAGUGGUUAGAACUCCAUGCUGUCACUGCUGAGGGCCUGGGUUCAAUCCCUGGUCAGGGAA